GUGCCAGCCGCCGCGGUAAUACGAAGGGUGCAAGCGUUACUCGGAAUUACUGGGCGUAAGGCGUGCGUAGGUGGUUUGUUAAGUCUGCUGUGAAAGCCCCGGGCUCAACCUGGGAAUGGCAUUCGGGACUGCAAGGCUGGAGUGCGGCAGAGGAGACUGGAAUUCCUGGUGUAGCAGUGAAAUGCGUAGACAUCAGGAGGAAUACCGGUGGUGCAGACGGCUCUCUGGACCGCGACUGACGCUGAGGCACGAAAGCGUGGGGAUCAAACAGGAUUAGAUACCCUGGUAGUCC
This 292-nucleotide ribosomal RNA is filed under the name uncultured bacterium. Its description in RNAcentral is "partial 16S ribosomal RNA". It matches the Rfam family "Bacterial small subunit ribosomal RNA", at positions 505 to 796 of the family's 1533-position model. The record is from RNAcentral.